RNAcentral lists this long non-coding RNA (567 nucleotides) under Numida meleagris (helmeted guineafowl). Its description in RNAcentral is "lncRNA (ENSNMEG00000008366.1)". Lineage: Eukaryota; Metazoa; Chordata; Aves; Galliformes; Numididae. The record is from RNAcentral.
AAAUAAGAACAAACAUUCACCUAAACAAAAAAUAAAUAUAUCUCACAGCAACGAAGACCAGAAAAGAAAAUCCUUUCCUUCACCCUUAGAAAGCCUCUGCAUAUUAUACUAGAUGGUAUUUAUUUGCACUGGCAGUGCAGACACUGAGCUCCAGAGAAACAGUAGUAAAUAAAAACAAUAAUCAGUGAACUGCAAAAGAGUCUUUUUUCUUUAUUUGAAGCGAUAUUCACAUGAACAAAUAUUUGAAAAAAAAAAUGUAUGCUGUGCCUCAGACAAUAGUUAUAACUGAAGAAAUCUUUGGACUAAUGGAUGAAUAUUAUCUUGACUGUACAGAAGAAUGAGACAGCUACUUCAGUAAAAUAUUCAAGAUGUGUUUUGUGAAUGCACAAAAUGGAUCCCUGUGGAGAUGGAGAAUGGGAUGAAGGCAAAUCAGAAAGACUGAUUAUGCUGAAACCAGCACUACAAAAAGGGAUGCUUGAAAGGACAAGUGCCAUACAUUAUCUGCUCCUCUUGGAAUCACCUUGGCCACAGGGAGAGGAGACUUUGAAUUUGUCUACAUCAGCAUGA